This 19-nucleotide small nuclear RNA is filed under the name Arabidopsis thaliana (thale cress). Its description in RNAcentral is "snRNA_19143". The record is from RNAcentral. Lineage: Eukaryota; Viridiplantae; Streptophyta; Magnoliopsida; Brassicales; Brassicaceae.
GGAUGGGUGACCUCCCGGG